GAUGAACGCUGGCGGCGUGCCUAAUACAUGCAAGUCGAGCGAACAGACGAGGAUCUUGCUCCUCUGACGUUAGCGGCGGACGGGUGAGUAACACGUGGAUAACCUACCUAUAAGACUGGGAUAACUUCGGGAAACCGGAGCUAAUACCGGAUAAUAUAUUGAACCGCAUGGUUCAAUAGUGAAAGACGGUUUUGCUGUCACUUAUAGAUGGAUCCGCGCCGCAUUAGCUAGUUGGUAAGGUAACGGCUUACCAAGGCAACGAUGCGUAGCCGACCUGAGAGGGUGGUCGGCCACACUGGAACUGAGACAGGGUCCAGACUCCUACGGGAGGCAGCAGUAGGGAAUCUUACGCAAUGGGCGAAAGCCUGACGGAGCAACGCCGCGUGAGUGAUGAAGGUCUUCGGAUCGUAAAACUCUGUUAUUAGGGAAGAACAAAUGUGUAAGUAACUAUGCACGUCUUGACGGUACCUAAUCAGAAAGCCACGGCUAACUACGUG
RNAcentral lists this ribosomal RNA (497 nucleotides) under uncultured bacterium. Its description in RNAcentral is "partial 16S ribosomal RNA". It matches the Rfam family "Bacterial small subunit ribosomal RNA", at positions 28 to 507 of the family's 1533-position model. The record is from RNAcentral.